UACGAAGGGGGCUAGCGUUGCUCGGAAUCACUGGGCGUAAAGCGCACGUAGGCGGAUUGUUAAGUCAGGGGUGAAAUCCUGGAGCUCAACUCCAGAACUGCCUUUGAUACUGGCGAUCUUGAGUCCGGGAGAGGUGAGUGGAACUGCGAGUGUAGAGGUGAAAUUCGUAGAUAUUGGGAAGAACACCUGAGGCGAAGGCGGGUUGCUGGGCUGAUACUGACGCUGAGGCGCGAAAGCCAGGGGAGCAAACGGG
RNAcentral lists this ribosomal RNA (253 nucleotides) under uncultured bacterium. RNAcentral describes it as "partial 16S ribosomal RNA". It matches the Rfam family "Bacterial small subunit ribosomal RNA", at positions 524 to 776 of the family's 1533-position model. The record is from RNAcentral.